GGCGGACGGGUGAGUAAUGCUUGGGAAUAUGCCUUAUGGUGGGGGACAACAGUUGGAAACGACUGCUAAUACCGCAUGAUGUCUACGGACCAAAGUGGGGGACCUUCGGGCCUCACGCCAUAAGAUUAGCCCAAGUGGGAUUAGCUAGUUGGUGAGGUAAUGGCUCACCAAGGCGACGAUCCCUAGCUGGUUUGAGAGGAUGAUCAGCCACACUGGGACUGAGACACGGCCCAGACUCCUACGGGAGCCAGCAGUGGGGAAUAUUGCACAAUGGGCGCAAGCCUGAUGCAGCCAUGCCGCGUGUGUGAAGAAGGCCUUCGGGUUGUAAAGCACUUUCAGUAAGGAGGAAAGGUUAAGUGUUAAUAGCACUUAGCUGUGACGUUACUUACAGAAGAAGCACCGGCUAACUCCGUGCCAGCAGCCGCGGUAAUACGGAGGGUGCGAGCGUUAAUCGGAAUUACUGGGCGUAAAGCGUAC
Molecule: ribosomal RNA, 477 nt
Filed under: uncultured Pseudoalteromonas sp.
Lineage: Bacteria; Pseudomonadati; Pseudomonadota; Gammaproteobacteria; Alteromonadales; Pseudoalteromonadaceae
Description: bacterial SSU rRNA
Rfam family: Bacterial small subunit ribosomal RNA
Source: RNAcentral